Misgurnus anguillicaudatus (oriental weatherfish) is the source of this 1001-nucleotide non-coding RNA. The record is from RefSeq and is a predicted model, not a curated record. Lineage: Eukaryota; Metazoa; Chordata; Actinopteri; Cypriniformes; Cobitidae.
UGAGCGCAAGGGAGUGCAGCCAACAAAUACAUUCAGGUGUGUUUGACUUAACACAGAGAUGCGCAGACAGCACGUGGUAUGACAUCAAGUACCGCAAGAGUUUGGGAAAGCCCCGGAAAAGGUUUGAACUCGCGGUACUUGAUGUCACGAUCGGUUUGCGCGUAUAUCAGCAUGAAGUCAAACACAUCUGAGAGAUAUGUGGGCUGCCUGCCCUGCACUCAACGUUGCGAUCAUUCAGUAGAGUGUAACCUCUUGUAGAACGAUCACAGAACGAUUUUUUGUUCUUUUCCAACUCGAUUUUUAACUCCCUAAACCAGUAGGAUGUUCCAACGGGUGAAGCAACAGUGCUGACGGCAGUUUCAGUGUCAAGUUUUCAUGCCAUGACCACUGGGGCGGAAACCAUUAUGACAUUGCCUUGGACAUCAAACUAAACCAUCUCAUUCUGGCUUUUGAGGUGGACUCUAACCUCGAAAUCUCAGAAGGACAGGUCUAAGACAGAAUUCUGGCUUGAUGUUUGGUCCACCUGUUAGCUGGCUCUGGUGCUUGGUAGUCUUCUCAAACCUCUGAAUCAAGACCACCAUGAGAGGCCUUCUGAAGACCAUCAUUACGCUUCAGAUCCAGUUGUCUUUACUAUGAGAUAGAACUGAACUGGAGUCUGUGAACUAAUGCUGUGUUCGAGACAACUUGGAUGUUGGAUAUUAUUGACCUCAAACCCGUAAGAAGUCUGGAACAGCAAACAAAGUUGAGUAUCCGACCUCUCAACUUGGGACAGAUCCAUCAACACCGACCUCAACGAGAUGCAUCAUUUGACAUUGCAGACAAGAUCCUUUCUCUUUUUAAUGCAGAACUUAAGGAUGAACCACCCUGAUCUACUAAGAUGCACAGAUUCAACUCUGGCCCAGCAUCAUCCCCACACCUCAUCUGCCAUCAGUUUAAUUUAAUGUCUGUCAAUUGCAAAUGCUAUUUAUUUCAGUUAUAUUACAACUUAAUGUUAACUUUAA